Vigna angularis (adzuki bean) is the source of this 5902-nucleotide long non-coding RNA. RefSeq lists it as uncharacterized. The transcript has 8 exons. NCBI's taxonomy places the organism in Eukaryota, Viridiplantae, Streptophyta, Magnoliopsida, Fabales, Fabaceae. The record is from RefSeq and is a predicted model, not a curated record.
AGCGGAUCAUUACCGACGGUCAUGUGUUCGUCGGUAAGUUUCCAUUACUGAGGGAAUUAUCGAUGGACCCCACUGCUUCAUUUACAGACGACAUAAAUCCUUCUGUAGUGUGCAAUCUCGUAAUUUAUCAUCGGAUCUGAGCCAUCAAUAAUGUGCACGAUGACUUAACUCCAAAUUUUGGGUAUUCCUUCGAUCAAUUACAAUUUCAGCAAACCCUUUCCCUCAAAUUUCUCUCUUCUCUUCCCCCGAAAUUGAAAUCUAAGCGCAUGAGAGGGUACCCCCAAAUUUCUCCUCUUUCCUUUGGUUCCCUUUUGUUCUUGCAUCCUCGGCCCCUUCCAUCUUGUGUUGUUGUAGCGGUGUUGUGAAGAGUGCGAGCAUUUGCGGUGGUUGAGCGUGGUUCGUGUAAUCGUGGAGGCUGCCUCCCUGUUAAGUUCACAAUUAUUCGCAGAGGGAAAGGAUUCGUUGUUGUUGUGUGUCUUCCAUUAUUGUGCUCUUUCCCAACCUUCAUUGGCGUAGGUCGUUCGCAACCUUCAUUGCCCUAAAUUAUGGUUGAGGGUUUAUGUGACGUGAUGGUAGUUGACACCAAUGUUAGGAGAUGUUGUCGUGAGGCAAGGGCUGCUGGUCAACGAUUGUCAUUGUCGUGGUGAACUAAGGUUGUCCGAGUCCAUCCUGCAUUUGUCGAGGGAGGUUAUGGAGAGUUCCUAUUAUGGAGGCCAUUGGUGAGGCACGUUGAAGGUGAACAGAGGCAUCAUUCUUUGCAACUUGAGUCAGUAAUUGCAGAAGAAGAGGUUUGAAAGAAGCUUUUGUCAUCGGAGUUGAAGAGUUUGUGUAGGCGGCUCCGCGAUAUGAAUAUUAUGCUCUUAAUGGAGGGAUUUGAUGCCCAUGCAUCAAGUGCGAAUGUACAAGAAUUUUGAAAGAUGAAGUCGUCAAAGUUCACAUACCAAAAAGGGUUCAUGCCUAAUUACACGCGGUAUAGACAUUUCAUGGUGAAGAAAUUCCUUCCACCUCCACUACAACUCAAAACCAGCUUGUAUCACGUUCAAAUAUUGUUGUACAUACAUAUGAGAUAGAUCAAUUUACCUAUAUGUAAGAGAUGGUCGACAAUGCUCUUUGUCGACAUGCUGAAGAAGAAGUAGACGAUAGUCAUGAUGAAGAGUUUCCAAAUGAAACCACUCAGAGGUUUUAAAAUUUAUUGGCAGAGACAAAUCAACCUGUAUUUGAAGGGUCAACUAAAUCAAAAUUGUUAGUGUACAUUAGACUAAUGACCUAUAAAUCUAAUUGGAACCUUCCCAAUCAAGCAUUGGACUUCAUAUCAAAAUUAGUAUUAGAUCUGACACCACUAAACACUUCUUUGCUGAAGAAUUAUUAUGAAGCAAAAGUAUAUGUUUCAAAGGUAGGAUUGAAAGCCAAGAAGAUUGAUUUGUUGUGUUAAUGGAUGUAUGUUAUUCUAUGACAACGAUAGUGUGAAAAAUGAUGCAUUGUUGGUUGAAUGUAAGUUUCGUGGGCAACCUCGAUAUCUUACAAUGCAUGCAACCUCGAUUCCAUUGAAGUUCAUGUUCUACUUGCCUAUAAUACCAAGAUUACAAAGAAUGUUUGCUUCGAUGAAAACAUCAUAACACAUGGCAUGGCAUGAUGGUAACAAAAGUGAAGGAGUGUUGCGUCUUCCUUCUGAGGGUGAAGCUUGGAAGCACUUCAAUCGUAAACAUCCAUCCUUUGCCAAUGAUGCAUGUAAUGUGCAACUUGGUCUAUGUUCUUAUGGGUUUACGCCGUACAUUCAAGCGUCUGCAUCACCAUAUUUACAUUGGCCAAUGAUUGUUACUCUAUACAAUCUACCACUUAAGAUGUGUAUGACAAAGCCUUACAUGUUUUACACGUGUAUAGUACCAGGUCCAUCGAAUCUCAAAUCAGCGAUUGAUAUUUAUUUGGAGCCCUUGAUUAAUGAUUUGAAGAAGCUAUGGAAUGGUGUUUGGACGUAUGAUGUUUUAAGGAAACAAUAUUUUCUUAUGAGGACAACUUUGAUGUGGAUUAUUAAUGACUUCCCUGCAUAUGACAUGUUUUCUGGUUGGAGCACGCAUGGUCGAUUAGCUUGUCCGCAUUGCAUGGAGCAUUCAAAGUCAUUCUUAUUGAGCUAUGGUCGAAAAACUAGUUGGUUUUACUGCCAUCGACGAUUCUUGCCCAUUGAUCACCCAUUUAGGAGAAACAAAAAGGCAUUUUGCAAAGGGCAAGUUGAAACGGAUAUCCCCCGCCAAGGCUCACUCCGGCUUAAGUUUGGAGAAGAGUCAACGACAUGCCAAAAGUCACUGAAUGUGGUCAGAAUGAAAUAGAAGGGUAUGGGGAGUGGCAUAACUGGACUAAAAGAAGCAUUUUUUGGAAUAUUUCCUAUUGGAAAAAUAACUUGCUAAGACAUAACCUCGAUGUCAUGUACAUAGAAAAAAUUUCUUUGACAACAACUUUAAUAUGGUAAUGAAUGUUAUUGGGAAGAUGAAAGAUAGUGACAAAGCAACAAAAUAUUUAACUUUGUAUUGUGGACAAAGAGACUUAGAGUUGAAAGCGGAAGGUAAUGAUUGAUUGUUGAAACCAAAAGCAAAUUACAUAUUGCAAAAGAUAAGGCUAUAAUAGUUUGUGGAUGGAUCAAGGAGCUUAGAAUGCCAGAUGGAUAUUCUUCUAACUUGUCCAGAUGUGCCAAUAUUAAAAAGGGUACUAUUCAAGGGUUGAAGAGUCAUGAUUGCCAUGUAUUCAUGGAGACUUCCACCGAUAGAAAUCAGUAACUUCUUCAAAUAUUUGUGUUGCACGACGCUAGAGGAAAAUUUGCUAAGAAAGAUGGAAGAAAAUAUUCCAAUUAUUCUGUGCAAAUUAGAAAGAAUAUUUCCUCCUGCAUUAUUUGAUUCAAUGGAGCAUUGUUAGAAGCCGAACUAUAUAAAUUAGUAAAAUCGGUAUGAGGGUGAGGAGAAGAAAAGCAGGAAGGAAGAGUUAGAAACUGAACGAUACUAACAGUGAAGUCAAACAGUUCUAAUAGUGAAGUGUGUUAUAAAACAAAUGGUAUUACUAUUAUCAACUAGGGAAACAUAAAUCAACUAAAAAAAAUGAAAACCCAAAGCACGAAAACGUAACUGAAACUAAAACACAGUGCAUAAUCAAAACGCAAAACCAGAAACGAAAUGAAAUUGCAUAUGCGAAAUUGAAAAGGGAAAAAUGAAAUUGAAAUUGGAGAAUCAAAGUGCAGCAGAGAAAGGAACAUCAAACAUAAUUGAAAUUACCAAUAGAAAUGAAAUUAGAAAACGAUUCAAUACAUAGAACCCCUAAAAGGGGGGGGGGGUUGGAAAAUGCCGAAGAGCCCUAAAACCUAAGAGAAAAACGUGAAUGAGGGAGAGGAGGAAAAGUGAAAUCUAAUUUCGGGUUUAUAGAUCCCAAAUUAUAAUUAUGCCCUUCUAAUGAGUUUCUACAAAAAUGGGCUCAAUGCUAAACUAAAAACAAAAAUAAAACAAAUGAUGAUGUGGAACUCUGAAAAUGACGUGGCAUCACUCUUGUUGUCCCAAAAUAUGUUUCCAAAAUUGUCCUGCAAGUAAUAAUUGGAAUAAUUAAGUCCAAAUAAUUCAAAUUAAUUAAAAUAAGAAUUAUUAGUCAAAUUAAUCCCAAAUAGUGAAAAUGAAACAAUAAUGGAGAAUUAAACACAAUUCACUAAUACAAUAUGGUGCAAAAAGCUAAAUGAAUAGUACAAAAUAAUGAUUCAUCAAGCAUAUUCCAAUUCAUUUUGCAUAUGAAGCUUGGCUUGGGGGACUAAUGCAAUACAAGUGGAUGUAUCCCUUUGAUAGGUUUAUGGGAGAAUCAAAACGUUCAGUUAAAAAUAAAACUAUAGUAGAAGGAUCAAUUUGUGCAUCAUACUUGUACCGAUACACUUAAAGUUUCCUAACUGGUUCAAAUAUCAAGUAUUUUUUUCCUAUGUUUUGAGCAAGGUUAAUUUUACUCUUGUUGUAAAAUUUGUUUUUGGCAACUUCCUAGGUUUUUAACUAGGCAUUAACUCCCACGAUUCAAGAGUUAAGAGAUCUCUCUAAUUGACCAAUGAGAUGUGUGAAAGAAUGACACACUUACUUCAUCAAUGGUUACAAAUUCCAUACACAUGAAUGGUCUAAAGGAAAGAAAACAACAAAUUGUGGUGUGUACGUCAAGGGCCUUAUAGAAGGUUCUUAUGAUGAUUUCUACGACAUCAUUCAUAAAAUAUAUGAGUUAGAGUACAACACUACUACUUCUCCAAAGAGAGUAGUACUUUUUUAUUGUGAAUGGUUUGAUCCUUUUAGAACUGGUACAAGAGUGGAUCCUAUGUUUAACAUUAUCGAACUGCAAAUGAGAUGAAGAUAUCGACCGUUUAAUCCUCUCAUUCUACCAACUAAUGUCAGACAGAUUUAUUAUGUCCCAUAUCCACCAUUCUGUAGUAGUGACAAACAUGGUUGGGCUAUUGCAAUACAAAAUGAAGCCUAGAAGUCACAUUGACUGAAAUGAGGUUGAAGAAGAUGUUGCCUACCAACUUAAGUAAAUGUCACAGGCACAAGAAAUUAUUGAAGUUGAACGUAUGACUGCAUUGUAGAGCCUGAUGGUGAUGAAGAUAAAUUACAAGCAUUAAUACAAGGACAAGAAAUGUUUAGAUUCAGUUAGUGAUGGUGUUGACCCUACUUCUAUACCUUUCUCAUCUUCUAUACCGCCUUCUGAGACUGCCACACCAACUAUUGAUGCAGAUUCAGUUAGUGAUGGUGUUGACCCGCCUCUCCAUGAUCAACUAUGGAUUGAACCUUUUGGUCGAGAGUUUGUUCCAUCCACGGUUGCUUCAUGGUCAAUUAAGCAACAAUAUAUGAGUUUGUGGCCUAGUUGGGGAGUAAUACUUGCACAAAAAAACAACCAUUCUGGCAGCGUUUUAAGAUGAAGGUGCAGUAGAAACCUGAACAUGAAUAUGAAAUACAAAGAAAUUUUCACACUAAAGCAUCGCAUCGGCUGUUAGAAAUGUUUAGAGAUGCCCGCAAUGUAGGGGAGCGCCCUUACUGGUUGGGCGAGCACAUAUGGAACUCUUUACUGACUCAUUGGAAUUCAGUAGAGUUUCACAAUAGUGUGCUACUGCCCAGAAGAACAAAACUUCUGAAAAGGGUGGGACCCUGCAUACCGGUGGAUCGAUCACGAUUCAUGAAUAUGUCAUUCGCAUGGAUGGGCGAUCCACGUUGAUGAGGUUUUUACAUAUACUCAUAUUCGGAAGUGAACUAGUCAAUUCGUUGAUGGAAGGUCUCGAAAGACUCAUUUUUGAUUAAGAAGAUUUUUCUACGAGACUUGCACAAGUUAGAUCUGAACAUGGCUCAACUCCUACACCGGAUAACGCGAAUAAUGAAGACGACGACAUCGUAAGGACACAAUGUUGGGUCGAUGUCGUUGGUGGGAAAAAAAGGGACGAGUGUACGGUGCAAGACAACUUGUUGCAAACUACGCAACAACAAGAGGAGGUACUCGAAAACACCAACCUUCUUCUUCCACCACCACUAUUGACAAGGCUGUUGUCCGCCUCACGCAGGCACUAGAGCAGUGUGACCAAGAAUACUCUUAUUUGAGGCACGAGUUUACAAAAUUUAAACAACUUAUCAUGAGAUUGAUGUCUAAAGCUUCACAACUUCAGUCCACCGUUCCUCCGACCCAGCUACGACUCUCCCCAUCACCUACCAUAUCAGAGCAGCCCACUCUAGUCUAGUCCAGAUUAGUGCAACCCACAGUAGUCCAAUCCACACCAGUCCAACCACCUGUAUAGUAGCAGGAUGAUGAAGACCAUUCUAAUGAUGACUAUGUAGAUUAUUAGUCUUCAUGUUAUUAUUGAACAUAGUUGUUAGAAUAUUAUGAUUAUGUUAUAUUACAUUUCCUCAUGCAUUUCAAA